This 342-nucleotide long non-coding RNA is filed under the name Rosa chinensis. RNAcentral describes it as "sRNA RchiOBHm_Chr6g0246111". Lineage: Eukaryota; Viridiplantae; Streptophyta; Magnoliopsida; Rosales; Rosaceae. The record is from RNAcentral.
AUGAUGUGGGUUGUUGUGAGUGGUGAUAUUAUGUCACUUGAACUAAAUUAUAUUAUUGUUUUCUGAAUUGAUGGUUUUAAUGUAAUUCCCUGAACUAAAUUCUAUCAGGAAUUACUAUGAUUUUAUUGAUUGUUUUGAUGAAAUUCCCUGAAUUAAACUCUAUGCAGGGAUCACUGAUUUUACUUAAUUCCUAUUGUGAAUAUAGUUGUGCUUUGGGAUUAGUAGUGAGUGUGAAAUGAGUAGUGAUGCCUUAAUUUUAGCGAAUGAUUUAUGUUGUGAGGCAAUGAGUGAAAUUUCGUGGUUGUGCCGUUGAGGCAAAUGAAUGAUGAUUUGAGAGAUUGU